Non-coding RNA from Pelobates cultripes (western spadefoot toad), 272 nucleotides. Lineage: Eukaryota; Metazoa; Chordata; Amphibia; Anura; Pelobatidae. The record is from the annotation of a GenBank genome assembly.
GUCCAAAUGAAAGUAAAUUGCAGUAAUUACUUUACUACACACAUAGAACAAGAUAAAUCAAACAAUAUGGGGGGACUAGCAAGGGAGGUGUAUGGGGGUAUCAAACUAUCCCCUCCCCCACUCUAACCGAAAUCAUUAGAGAAAAUGUAAAAACGAAUACACAGAAUUUGUAUGUGACUGACCAGUACAGUGCUACAUAUACAACCUGGAAUAUGUGGGUGCCCAUUGAAACAGAGCUACUGUAUGUGGGUGCCCCUUGAAAUAGUAAAAAG